RNAcentral lists this ribosomal RNA (406 nucleotides) under uncultured bacterium. Its description in RNAcentral is "partial 16S ribosomal RNA". It matches the Rfam family "Bacterial small subunit ribosomal RNA", at positions 30 to 526 of the family's 1533-position model. The record is from RNAcentral.
AUUGAACGCUGGCGGCAGGCCUAACACAUGCAAGUCGAACGAGUGGCGGACGGGUGAGUAAUGUCUGGGAAACUGUCCGCUGUCGGGGGAUAACUACUGGAAACGGUAGCUCAUACAGCAUACACUCGGAUGUGCCCCCAUGGGAUUAGCUCGUAGGUGAGGUAAAGGCUCACCAAGGCGACGAUCCCUAGCUGGUCUGAGAGGAUGACCAGCCACACUGGAACUGAGACACGGUCCAGACUCCUACGGGAGGCAGCAGUGGGGAAUAUUGCACAAUGGGCGCAAUCCUGAUGCAGCCAUGCCGCGUGUAUGAAGAAGGCCUUCGGGUUGUAAAGUACUUUCAGCGAGGAGGCGUUACCCGCAGAAGAAGCACCGGCUAACUCCGUGCCAGCAGCCGCGGUAAUAC